AGUGGGGAAUCUUGGACAAUGGGCGCAAGCCUGAUCCAGCCAUGCCGCGUGGAUGAUGAAGGCCCUAGGGUUGUAAAAUCCUUUCGUUGGGGACGAUAAUGACGGUACCCAAAGAAGAAGCUCCGGCUAACUUCGUGCCAGCAGCCGCGGUAAUACGAAGGGGGCUAGCGUUGUUCGGAUUUACUGGGCGUAAAGCGCGUGUAGGCGGGCUGGAAAGUUGGGGGUGAAAUCCCGAGGCUCAACCUCGGAACUGCCUCCAAAACUUCCAGCCUGGACUCAAGCAGAGGCAAGUGGAAUUGCGAGUGUAGAGGUGAAAUUCGUAGAUAUUCGCAGGAACACCAGUGGCGAAGGCGACUUGCUGGGCUUGUAGUGACGCUGAGACGCGAAAGCGUGGGGAGCAAA
This 402-nucleotide ribosomal RNA is filed under the name uncultured Woodsholea sp. RNAcentral describes it as "bacterial SSU rRNA". It matches the Rfam family "Bacterial small subunit ribosomal RNA", at positions 353 to 772 of the family's 1533-position model. Lineage: Bacteria; Pseudomonadati; Pseudomonadota; Alphaproteobacteria; Maricaulales; Maricaulaceae. The record is from RNAcentral.